This 624-nucleotide ribosomal RNA is filed under the name uncultured bacterium. RNAcentral describes it as "bacterial SSU rRNA". It matches the Rfam family "Bacterial small subunit ribosomal RNA", at positions 137 to 778 of the family's 1533-position model. The record is from RNAcentral.
AGGGGGAUAGCGUUUGGAAACGAACGGUAAUACCGCAUAAUGUAUUUUGACCGCAUGAUCGAAAUACCAAAGAUUUAUCGCUGAAGGAUGGACUCGCGUCUGAUUAGGUAGUUGGUGGGGUAACGGCCUACCAAGCCGACGAUCAGUAGCCGGACUGAGAGGUUGAUCGGCCACAUUGGGACUGAGACACGGCCCAGACUCCUACGGGAGGCAGCAGUGGGGAAUAUUGCACAAUGGGCGCAAGCCUGAUGCAGCAACGCCGCGUGAAGGAAGACGGUUUUCGGAUUGUAAACUUCUGUUCUUAGUGAAGAAUAAUGACGGUAGCUAAGGAGCAAGCCACGGCUAACUACGUGCCAGCAGCCGCGGUAAUACGUAGGUGGCAAGCGUUGUCCGGAAUUACUGGGUGUAAAGGGAGCGCAGGCGGGUGAUCAAGUCAGCUGUGAAAACUACGGGCUUAACCCGUAGACUGCAGUUGAAACUGUUCAUCUUGAGUGAAGUAGAGGUUGGCGGAAUUCCGAGUGUAGCGGUGAAAUGCGUAGAUAUUCGGAGGAACACCGGUGGCGAAGGCGGCCAACUGGGCUUUAACUGACGCUGAGGCUCGAAAGUGUGGGGAGCAAACAGGAU